Acinonyx jubatus (cheetah) is the source of this 9919-nucleotide long non-coding RNA. RefSeq lists it as uncharacterized. The transcript has 4 exons. Lineage: Eukaryota; Metazoa; Chordata; Mammalia; Carnivora; Felidae. The record is from RefSeq and is a predicted model, not a curated record.
UAAAAAAAUUUUUUAAUUAAAAAGAAGAGUCAACUGUAUAUUCAACAUGCGGUGUUCAUUUAAUCACUACAGCUGUCUCAUGUCAAUACUUACGCUUUUCAUUAUUACUCUGUAGGGUUGCCAAAAUAUAUUUCAAUAUAUAUAAACUAUAGCUGAGAUAGCAUGUCCUCGAAGCCCUGUGAGAGAUGAUAAACAGGGAAGCACAAUUACAGUGAUUACAAGUAAGCUUUGGGGCACCUGGGGGGCUCAGUCGGUUGAGCGUCCGACUUCAGCUAAGGUCGUGAUCUCACGGUUUGUGAGUUCGAGCCCCCCCCGCGUCGGGCUCUGUGCUGACAGCUCGGAGCCUGGAGCCUGCUUCAGAUUCUGUGUCUCCUGCUCUCUCUGCUCCUCCCCCGCUCAUGCUCUGUCUCUCUCUCUCCUUCAAAAAUAAAUAAAAACAUUAAAAGUAAGCUUUGAGUGAUUAGUAAAAGCAUAGAUAUUGAGGUCAGACAGCUAUGGUGAUUAAAAUAAUAAAGCACCUUGAACAUACAGUUGACCUUGAACACUUGGCUGGAUGAGGGGCGCCUGCUCCCCAUGCACUCAAAACAACUCACGUUACUAUUGACUCCCUCCAAACUUGACUACGCACAGCCUACUGUUGUCCAACACCAAAUCUGGGGAGAAGAGAACAUGAAAUAAGGAAGAGGGAUUAGGAGAGUGGCAGUAGAAAGGGAAAGGAGAGGCAAUUAUGAGGAACACGUUCAAGGUAGAGCCAAUAGAACUUGGUAACUGAUUUUGUGUGGGUUGAGGGAAGGAUAAAAAAAAUGUGUUCCAGCUGAUGUGAGCAGAAUGAAGUGGCAUUAACAGAAUAAUAAUUAUAACCGUAGAUACAAUUUGUUGAGUGCUGAUUGUGCUUCGGGCCCUGUGUGUCCAUUACCACUUAAUUUUAGCGACGUGACACUUAAUUUUAACAACUUUGGGAGAUUACCAUCUCCAUUCUGCAGAUGAAGAAACCAAGGUUCCUGGGAGUUGAAUUACAUCACCAAGUAUGGAUUUGAGAGCUGUCUUAUUUUAAACGCAUCAUGGAGAAUAAAGGAAGUUAAGAGGAGACGCGGCCACAGGUGAAAUAGAAUAACCAUUGGAAUCGCCUGUUUGCACUAAGGAACUUCUAGUAGGUUCCGAGGAGAAAUUGACAUCCCUUGGGCAUCGGGACAAGGGAUGGAGAAUGCUUUGUGUACCUUCCAUAUCUCAGUGGGCCUCUAGUUGUAGUAGAUGUUUAACAAAUAUGUGUGGAAAGAAUGAAUGAUGCCUGGCAAUCAUGCUGUGUUUCUUCAGACCAGUAACUGAAGUCCACUGAAUCAUGUUUCAAAGACAUGAGCCAUUAUCACAUUUCGCCACUUACCCCUGUAGUUCUCAGCCUGGUAUCGUUCUAACGUUUACAAAGUCAUCUCACCAUGUUUACCUCUGUGUCAAGGUUUAGUUUACUCUGAGGAUUCUCUCUCCAACUUCGUUAGAAACCCACUGGUACGUAUUCUCAUCUUCAUUAACGGACAAAGCAGGGUGCAAGGAGCCCAGUGCGUUCCCCGGAAAAUAAAAUGGAGAUGGGCGCCCGGCAUGGUCCCAGAAAUAAAUCCACGACCACGCAGUCUUCUGUCAUCUAAGCAGACACUCAUCUGUGUAUCUCUAUGAUUAUAGUUGAAUUGGCCUCUAGGCUUCUGUAACUUUUCAGCUUAUGUGGGAACAGAAGUUGUCCUCUGCCCAAGAGGGUCGGAACCAGAGAUCACAACCCCAGGUGGCACCUCAGGCAGUCGAUGGCCCCGAUUCCUCUGACCAAGGAUUCUUGCCUUUCUUUUCCAGCUCUACUCUUACCCCCUCAUUUCUUGCUUUCCUUCAACUUUUCCAGCCCCUUCUCCUACUCCAUUCCUCUUGCUCUGCCUCUCCUUCUGUCCACCCUCUUCCAUCCUACUCCCAGAGAUCCUUCCCUCCCCACCCAUCCUGUUUCCUUGCCUCACUGGGCAGGACAGUGCUGGGACCACCACCACGAAGCCCUGACGUCAUAGGUCAGAACACGGAGAGCCCAGAGCAGGGGUUCUUAACCGAUGAUCCAUAAAUGAGCUCCAGGAGUCCCGCGAACCCUUGGACAUUACAUACAAAAGUUGGCCGUAGGCACUACCUGCCGUUAUUUUUGGAGCAGGGUCCAUGACGUUUAUCAGAGUCUCAAGGGAUUUCAAAACCCAAAAAAGGUAACAUCAAGUAGCCUUGGGUUGUCAAGUAAAGUAAAUGGUACUCUAAAGUAAGCAUCUUUUUUUUUUUUUUGUCACUUUACUUUAAAGUAAACCUUACCACUUGGUCUGGAGAAACCAGGUGGCUCUUAGCAGAUGAGAUUUUCUAGGAAUAUCCGCCUAUAUUUCCUGAAUGGAGCGAGCUACCAGAUUGUCAACAGCGCAUUAGGACGGACUAUUGAAUGAUGGUCAAUCUAAUUUCAAUAUCAGGGCUAAAGAGCUGCAGAUACCGACCCUUGAAAGCAAAGCAAAAGGGAGGGGUGGGAAUCUGUCACGGAACAUUGACAUUGUUGUUCAAGGCACUGGGAAUAUAGUGGUAAUAAGACAAACUGGAUUCCCUGAAUUCAUUGAAUUCUAGUGUAAGAAGCAAAUAAAUAUAUGAGCUCAGAGACUCGUAAAUGCUAUGAAUGAAAGAAAGCAGGGUAACGGAACAUGGUACUGGGGAGGCAACAUCAAACAGGGUGGUCAGAGAAGAGCUUUCUCAGAAGCCGACAUUGGGGUUAAUCUUGAGUGGUGACAAGCCAGAGAUGGGUAGGUCCUGGGAAAGAGCAAUUGGGCGGUUGGGGCAGGAAGCGGGAAACAACAAAUGCAAAGGGCUUGAGCUUGGAUUUGAACUUGAAGCAAAGAAAACCAGAGACGCUAGAGCAUAGUAAGCAAGAGAAGAAAAGGAUACAUGGAUGACACCAGAGUGGGGAACACAGACCAGGUAAUGUACAGAAUUUCAGGCCAAGGUAAGGACUUGGGAUUUUAUACAAACCCACAUUUGAAAUCCACCGGAGCAUACUAAGCAGGGGAGCGAAGAUAAACAUUUAUUUAACAAAGAUUUGUUUGACAGCCUACUGUAUACGAGUCAUUUCCUAGUCAUGAGGGUCUAUGCCAGGCCCGGCCUCUGCUCUCAUGGAACUUACAUUCGAGUGAAACAAAUUAAAUGAACCCAGCAACAGGCAAACACCAGGGAAUGAUAAAUUUUAUAAAGAAGAUGAAGUCAAAAAGUGCGGCGGAAAGUGACUUGCCAGCGACUAUAGACUGAGUGCAGGAGAAAUGGCCAACACAGUGGCCCCAACUGAGAAACAAAUGCGCUAGAAUGUUUGAGGUAAGAACCAAAGACAGAGGGGCAAGAUGGGGAGAGUGGUUCAAAACUGAGGUCAAAGAAGAAAUGAAAAGGUAGGUAAGGUUUAGAUUAAGAAAAUGAAACGGCAUUGGAGGGUUUUAAACACGAUGUCUUCGUCUGUUUGAGCUGCUACAGCAAAACGCCAUAAAUGGGGCGGCUUCUAAGAAAUAGAAAUUUCUCUCUCCCAGUCCUGGAGCUGAAAGUUCAAGAUCAAGGCACCGGUGGUGUCCAUGUCUGGUAAGCGCUUGCUUCCUGGUUUAUAGGCGGCUGUCCUCUCAUUGUUCUUCCCAUGGCGGAAGGGGUGAGGGGGCUCCAUGGGGUCUCUUGUGAGAGCACACAUCUCAUUCAUGACAGUUUCACACUCAUCACCUAAGCAUCUCCCAAGGCCCCACGUUCAAAUACUAUCACGUUGAGCAUUAGGUUUCAAUGUCUGAACUUUGGAGGGACACAAACAUUCAGUAUUAACACUGGAGAACAACGUCCACUGACUUUUACUCUAAAAGUAUAAUGGGCUUCAAUGCAGAGAAUGGAUUGCUAGGGUGGAGAUGGGGUUGAGAGGAAGCUGUUUAAGAAAGUACAGCGGUAACUUAGGCCCCAAAUGACGGUACCUUGGACAAGUACCGUCGUACUAGACAAGGUCAAAAGGAUUAGAUUUGGGAUCUUUCUUUCGUAGGUAAAGCCAACGGGACUCUCUAGACGCUAUGACGUAGAAGGAAGAGGAGGACAAGGAAUUAAACUUCUGGAUUUUGGUUUGACCAGUUAAAUAAAUGGUACACCACUUACUGUGGUGGAGAAGGUAUCCACUACAAGGUAAAUAGUUGCAUUCCCACUUUACAGAUGAGGAAACUAAGCUUCAACAAAUAUGAUUCCAAAAUCUAUGCUUUAUCCACCACAGUGUCUUUGCCAGGAGUGUGGAUUAUCCAGGUUUGAUUAAUGGGCAUAGGAAAAAGGAUAUAUAUAGCAAAACAGGCAAGUAUCUUGACAGUGUACGUAAGGUGCGUGUGUGCAUGCCUCUGUCUGUGUGUGUAUGUGUGUGUGUGUAUUUGUAAUCUUACUGAGAGAAGUGUGGAUCGGCUCUCUUAUUUUUUAUCCCUUCCUUUAUCUUCUCCAUCUCUGAAAGUGGAAAGAUAGUGGAGAAAUCAGAAGACUCCAGACUUGAGACCAGCCUGUGCUGCGAGUACCAGGAUGAACUCUGACAAACUGAGCCCUUGCGUGUUGGCUGUUAUUUUCUUGGUAACAAGGCAGCUGCUGGAGCUCUCGUUCCUACAUCCACGUUAAGACAGAAGGAAAUGGAGAAUCAGCAGUUCCCAGUCCUGUCUGUCUUCCUUUAUCAGGCACUGAAGCCUCUCGAAAAACCCAAGAGGACCGGGUUGGGAGAGCUGUGUUGGUGAACGCGAGGAGGCUCAGGAGGAGUGGCAGCUGGAGAAGUCUGGAAGCCGCGGCGCCCUUUCCCCACACCUUGCCCCAGGCAUCUUCAUCUGACCCGGUGAUUCACCAGCACACCCUUUACUGAUGUAGGAAACAUCUACGCUGCAACUGUCUCUGUGGCCUAGUCUCACCUCAAAAUCUGGUCCGGGGAUCUUGAUGGAUUACUCUUUAUGAGUGAGUAGAAGAAUAAAAAGACGGUCUUCAUUCACUGAAAGUGUAUUUGCUCAUUGAAUAUUUACCAAGCCCCCAUUAUACAUGUAAGUUACUGUGUUUGCUAUUGAGAACAGACUGUUGACUGAGAUGGACCCCGCCACCUGCCCUCAUGGGUGCAUUUUGGUGGGAAAAGUACAGCGGUUGCUCUGUGACUAUGUAAUGAAGACAUGAGACCAAAUCUGAGCGGUCAGAGAUGUUUUCUUGAAGAAGUAACAUCAAGCUGAGGUUUGAAGGAUGACUAGGCAUUUAUUAAAUGGGGAGGAAGAGAAGAAAGAGGCAGAAGGAAUAGCGUGUAUGGCCCUGGGCAUGGCAAGAACACGGUGAAAUGAUGUGAAGGAAGGUGGAUGCAGAGAAGAGGGGGGAGUUGGAUGUGAGACAGGGAGAGGGAGGCAGAGACAGGCCAGGCAACGACUCAAGGCCAAGUGAGGAGUUUGAGCUUGACCCAGAAACAAUGGGAAAUCACGAAAGAGAGUGACCUGAUCAGAACGGUGUUCUUUUUUCAAAAAAAAAAAAAAAAUUUUUUUUAAUGUUUAUUUAUUAUUGAGAGACAGAGAGACACAGAGCGUGAGCAGGGGAGGGGUAGAGAGAGGGGGAGACACAGAAUCGGAAGCAGGCUCCAGGCUCCGAGCUGUCAGCACAGAGCCCGAUGCGGGGCUCCGACCCACAAACUGUGAGAUCGUGACCUGAGCCGAAGUCGGUCGCCCAACCGACUGAGCCACCCAGGCGCCCCAGAAUUGUGUUCUUAAACACACUGGCUACUUUGUGGGGGAGAGAGAGUUCGGACAUAGGGAAAAUGUUGAGUAGACCGUUAGUUUGGAGGAAUUGUGAACAGGGGCCGUGGCAAGGUAGAUGUGGAUAGAAAUGGGUACAACUGAGGAACAUUUAGGGGAUGACGCUGAAGAGGUAUUGGUGAUAAGAAUACGGGAGGCGAGAUUGCAUACUUAACCAUGAACCAGACUUCUGGUGGCCAUCAUCACAAAACAAGGGUUCGCUGCAGGAGAACCCAGUUAGGCGAAGUAGGGACAACAUAGACUCAGUUCUGAACUCGUAAAUUUGUGAAACCUUGGCAGGGGUGGUUUAUAAAUGAUUAGCAACUGGCUGUCCAAAAAGAAGAAGAAGAAAAAAAAAAUCCCUGAAUUUGUAGCGUUGGCCAAUUUCCGUAGUGUAAAAACUCCCAUCAUGGUGGAUUUCAGCCUAGCCAUCACACGACGGCCUUGAACGUGGAGUUGUGAAGAGAUGCUUACAGCGAGCCCUCAUGAGCCAGUGUAGCCUGGCUCCAGCACGCCAGUGACUGAAGAGACAUCUAGAAGGAAAUGACAAGAGGUGGGCGGAUGUGUAAUUAUUGGGCUUACAAGGAGUGGUCCCAGCCAGGGUCCGCAAUCAUCAGUGUGUGAAUGAGAAUGCAUACUUUGUGGAGUCAGAGUGUCUGGGUUGGUACCCAGACUCUGCCCUUAUUAGCUUUACGAUUGGGGGAAAAUUACUUAGCCUCUGUAGGUCUCAGUUUUCACACAUGUGAAUGGGGAUGAUAACAGUAGGUGAUUCAUAGAGUAGCUUCCAGAGAAAAGCGUAUGGAGAUGGAGUUGCCACACCUGUCGGUUUGUCGUACGCAUGUGCGAAAUGAAAUCCUUUCUUGUUGUUGUUGCUGUCUUUACCUUUACGUUUGUUUUAUUUAUUUAUUUUUUUAAUUAAAAACGUUUUUUUAACAUUUACUUAUUUUUUAGAGACAGAGAGAGAGAGACAGAGCAUGAGCAGGGGAGGGGCAGAGAGAGAGGGAGACAAGGAAUCCGAAGCAGGCUCCAGGCUCCGAGGCAUCAGCACAGAGCCUGAUGCGGGGCUCGAACUCACGAACCGCGAGAUCAUGACCUGAGCCAAAGUUGGACGCUUAACUGACUGAGCCACCCAGGCGUCCCACUUUUACGUUUGUUUUAAAUGUGCUCUCCCUUAGGUUGGUUAUUUCUCUUGAUAACUUCUCCAAGUUUGUAAGCAUGUAUGAACAUUUUGGGAUUCUAGUCUGUCACUAAGGGCUGUGUGGCCUUGAGUGGAUUACCUAAACUAGGAGUUAAAUUUCACCUUUGUGAUACUAGAUCAUGCCAGACGAACUCUGAGGGCUUUCUUAGACCCUAAACGAUAUAUGAUAUGACCUUUCGCAAAUCCUAAAAUUCUUGGUCAUCUUUGAUAUCUUUCUUUCUCUCACCUCCUGAACCCAAUUAGAUUUCAAUUCUUGUCCAUUUUGCGUCCACAGUCUCUCUCAUCCCUGACUUUUCUCCACCUCUGCCUCCAACUCUCCAUCUCUGUCCUCUGCCACUUUAUUGUAAGCUCUUGUUACUGCUUGUCAGACUAUUACGGUGGCCCUCAUCAGGUCUGGGACCACUAAAGUGGCUCCCUAGACAGUCUUCCUGCUUCCUUGUCAUUUCUCCUUUUAGUGCAUUUUAUAACAUUGCCAAUUAAACUCUCCACGUUUGUACUUACUUUUUAUUCUCAUGCUAUGUCCUUCUUUUAAGGCUAAUUCAAAUAAUAGUCUGUUCUUUAAUAUCAGCUUUUGAUCAUCUACUCUUGUGAAGUUUAUUAUUCACGCCAAUAAACACCAUCAUCAUACCAUUUCUCUUAAAUGCUAAGCGUAUAUAAAAAAAAAAUCCUGGUUCUUUUAUCAGGGUGGUUGGUGUAUAUAGAAAUUAAACUGCUUGUAGGUCUUUUUUUUUUUUAUUUUUAGAAAGACCAUUUUCCAUACACAAAAGAGUUGAAUAAACGUGGCAGUCGAUUCUUUUGUGAAGGCAGCAAGCAAAAAUUUGUCGUUUUGGGAUUUGAUAUUUUUUCAACACAAAAACACAGCCAUCGUCUUCUUUUUGUUUCAUUCACCUUGUGAGUUUUGGAUGUGUUUCGCAGGCAUAUCUGUUGUAUUUUUUUUCCUUAAGGUCAAUGGAUCCAUAAUCCAUAAAUUAAGGAAUGAUUAUCAACGUGUCAUUUUCUAAUAAUCUGCUGGUUCUGUGUUAUGACAUCACUUAAAUAUCCGAGUUGUAGUUCUGGAGACUACUUGCUUGUUUCCUCUUUGACCAAGAGAUUGGUCUCCUAAAAGUAAUUUAAGUGGAGUCGAAAUCCAAUUAACUUCGCAAUUCCAUGAACCAUAACAUCAUUUUAGCAAAUGAUUCUAGUUAGAGUAUUAGGAAAACCCAAGUCAUUGCUUGCUUCCUUCAACAGUAGAGAGAGGGGAGGAAACAAAGAGGAGGGAGGGGGGAAGUAGUUCCAAACAUCUAUUUUUCCAGUUAUUAGCCAGAGUAUUGGAUAAGACAGCUGGAGACUGAUACAGUCUUUAAGAUGUCAUAUGAUUUCUGGGCGUCUCUUUCUGUCUCUAAAAGUGGAGUAUAGGAGUAGAAAACAUGCCCAUGUGACAUUGGUCAGCUUUCAGGGUACCUCAUUCUGCAAAGUGAGAAAAAUGUUGAUUCUUACAUUGUUGUGUCUAAUAUUGGGAUACAUUUUAGGAUAAAAUCUAUUUUUCUAUUAUUAUGUUUAUUUGCAUAAUGGCAUCAGCCAUAUCUUGGACCAGUAAGCCAUUUAGAAACGCAUCUUUGAAAUCUUUGAAUCCAUGUCUUUAUUUACAUAUUUGUGUAUGUGUAUAAAUAUAGGUGUAUGUGUCAUGUCAUUCACAUAUAUACUCACAUAUAAUAUAUAGAAAGAGAGAGGCAUUGCUUCAGUGGCAGGGUGUUUUUGUUUGUUCGUUUCUAAUCUGCUAAAAUGCCUGUCUGGGAAUAAAACACUUUUUUUUUUAAAUGUUUAUUUAUUUUUGAGAGAGAUAAAGAGAGAGACAGAGUGUGAGCGGGGGAGGGGCAGAGAGAGAAGGAGACGCAGGAUCUGAAGCAGGCUCCAGGCUCCGAGCCAUCAGCACAGAGCCCGAUGCAGGGCUGACUCGUGAUCCGCGAGAUCCUGACCUGAGCCGAAGUCGGAUGCUCAACCGACUGAGCCACCCAGGCGCCCUACGAAUAAAACACUUUUUAAUUGUAUUAGCCCCUAAAUUUUUAGUGUUUUUUUUCUUGUGAAAUCAAAGUUCAGUGAACCUGAACUUUCAUGUCUUCUUAGUAGUUGAAUGUGGCAGAAUUUUGGCAUGAUAUAGUGAUAUUGAGGCAUGUAAGAAGAAAAAAUUCUACCUUCUAAAAGUUAAUUUUUUAACUAAAUAAAUAUUAAGAACAAGAACAAGUAUUUGCUCUUGUAGUAAAUUCUGCAGUGAGAAAGAAUGAAUAUCUGGGAAUAAGAUAGCGGUGUUUCUGACUUAACGUGAAAGGUGCAGUCUUGCAAAAUUUUCUGUGGAACACAUGUAUGUCGCAUGAACCUUACUUCCUUCUCUCAUAAAACCUGAGCCCCCGGGGAUAAAUAAAUGGUCUCUACGUGUGUAGUAAUGUUAAAUUUGUGUAUCAUAAUCGCAUGGUGAAUUCUUUUGAAUUAACACAUUUUUACAUUUAAAUUUUAUCCAUUACGGUUGCCGUAACUUUGAAAAGUAGACAUUUUGUCAGAAAACUUACUGAAAAGUUACUGGGGAAGUUGGACUUUCAUUAAGAAGAAUUUACAGAACCCAUGGGGCACCUGGGUGGCUCAGCUGGUUAAGUGUCUCUCUCUCUUUUUUUUUUUAUUAAAAAAAAUGUUUAUUUAUUUUUGAGGGAGAGGCAGAGUGUGAGUGGGGAGGGGCACAGAGAGAGGGAGACACAAAAUCCGAAGCAGGCUCCAGACUGUCAGCAAAGCCUGACACGGGGCUCGAACUCACAAACUGUGAGAUCAUGGCCUGAGCCGAAGUCAGACACUUAACGGACUGAGCCACCCAGGGGCCCCAAGUGUCUGACUCUUGAUUUAGGCUCAGGUCUUGAUCUCAUGGUUUGUGAGAUCAAGCCCCCUGUAGGGCUCUACUCUGGCAGCAUGAAGC